This 147-nucleotide non-coding RNA is filed under the name Chlorocebus sabaeus (green monkey). Lineage: Eukaryota; Metazoa; Chordata; Mammalia; Primates; Cercopithecidae. The record is from Rfam by way of RNAcentral.
GCUGGGCAUGGUGGUACAUGCCUGUAAUCCUAGCUACUCAGGAGGCUGAGGCACGAGAAUCCCUUGAACCCAGGAGGUGCGGGUUGCAGUGAGCUGAGAUCAGCCACUGCACUCCAACCUGGGCAACAGAGUGAGACUCUGUCUCAA